RNAcentral lists this ribosomal RNA (454 nucleotides) under uncultured bacterium. RNAcentral's name for it is "bacterial SSU rRNA". It matches the Rfam family "Bacterial small subunit ribosomal RNA", at positions 340 to 786 of the family's 1533-position model. The record is from RNAcentral.
UACGGAAGGCAGCAGGGGGAAUAUUGCACAAUGGGCGCAAGCCUGAUGCAGCCAUGCCGCGUGUAUGAAGAAGGCCUUCGGGUUGUAAAGUACUUUCAGCGGGGAGGAAGGCGAUGCGGUUAAUAACCGCGUCGAUUGACGUUACCCGCAGAAGAAGCACCGGCUAACUCCGUGCCAGCAGCCGCGGUAAUACGGAGGGUGCAAGCGUUAAUCGGAAUUACUGGGCGUAAAGCGCACGCAGGCGGUCUGUUAAGUCAGAUGUGAAAUCCCCGGGCUUAACCUGGGAACUGCAUUUUGAAACUGGCAGGCUUGAGUCUUGUAGAGGGGGUAGAAUUCCAGGUGUAGCGGUGAAAUGCGUAGAGAUCUGGAGGAAUACCGGUGGCGAAGGCGGCCCCUGGGACAAAGACUGACGCUCAGGUGCGAAAGCGUGGGGAGCAAACGAGGAUUAGAUACC